RNAcentral lists this long non-coding RNA (299 nucleotides) under Hordeum vulgare. RNAcentral's name for it is "long non-coding RNA (HVUL_LNC019236)". Lineage: Eukaryota; Viridiplantae; Streptophyta; Magnoliopsida; Poales; Poaceae. The record is from RNAcentral.
CCCAUCCUCUGCACCUCCGCUCGUCGCGCCCUUCCUCCGCUGCUCCACCCCUCCACCUCCUCGGUGCGCCGCAGUGCCCCUUCCUCCUCCUCCUCGGCGUGGCGCGGCGGCAACGCCUCCGCCGGCCGCGGGGACGCGGUGCGCGCGAGGGUGGCGGGGGCAGCCGCGCCGGUGACCGAGACAACGGCGGCCGAGGGAUGCGGCAGGCAGGAGGCCCCCGCCGCACCGACGGGAUCUCGACCUGUCCCUGAACCCUACCAGCGAGUCGCCUCCCUCGCCAUGGCGAAGCCCUCGCCGCC